This 492-nucleotide ribosomal RNA is filed under the name uncultured bacterium. RNAcentral describes it as "partial 16S ribosomal RNA". It matches the Rfam family "Bacterial small subunit ribosomal RNA", at positions 28 to 507 of the family's 1533-position model. The record is from RNAcentral.
GAUGAACGCUAGCUACAUGCUUAACACAUGCAAGUCGAGGGGACACGGCAUCAACAGCUUGCUUUUGAUGGGCGUCGACCGGCGCACGUGAGAGGAACGCGUAUCCCACCUGCGCAUCACUUGAGAAUAACCUUGCGAAAGUAAGACUAAUGACCAAUGACAUCCCACUAAGGCAUCCGAAUGGGACUAAAGAUUUAUCGGUUAUGGAUGGGGAUGCGUCUGAUUAGCUUGUUGGCGGGGUCACGGCCUACCAAGGCAACGAUCCGUAGGCGUUCUGAGAGGCAGGCACCCCAGAAUGGAACUGAGACCCGGUCCCAAACGGUACGGGAGGGAGGAGUGAGGAAUAUUGGUCGAUGGGCGAUGGCCUGACACAGCCAAGUGGCGUACAGGAUGACUGCCCUAGGAGUUGUAAACUGCUUUUAUAAGGGAAUUGAGUGGGUAACGUGUGACUUUUUGAAGGUACCUAAUGAAUAAGGACCGGCUAAUUACGUG